RNAcentral lists this ribosomal RNA (58 nucleotides) under Verticillium dahliae. Its description in RNAcentral is "partial 28S ribosomal RNA". Lineage: Eukaryota; Fungi; Ascomycota; Sordariomycetes; Glomerellales; Plectosphaerellaceae. The record is from RNAcentral.
UUGACCCCGGAUCAGGUAGGAAUCCCCGCUGAACUUAAGCAUAUCAAUAAGCGGAGGA